GAGGAAUAUUGGUCAAUGGACGAGAGUCUGAACCAGCCAAGUAGCGUGAAGGAUGACUGCCCUAUGGGUUGUAAACUUCUUUUAUACGGGAAUAAAGUUAGCCACGUGUGGCUUUUUGUAUGUACCGUAUGAAUAAGGAUCGGCUAACUCCGUGCCAGCAGCCGCGGUAAUACGGAGGAUCCGAGCGUUAUCCGGAUUUAUUGGGUUUAAAGGGAGCGUAGGCGGGUUGUUAAGUCAGUUGUGAAAGUUUGCGGCUCAACCGUAAAAUUGCAGUUGAUACUGGCGACCUUGAGUGCAACAGAGGUAGGCGGAAUUCGUGGUGUAGCGGUGAAAUGCUUAGAUAUCACGAAGAACUCCGAUUGCGAAGGCAGCUUACUGGAUUGUAACUGACGCUGAUGCUCGAAAGUGUGGGUAUCAAACAGGAUUAGAUACCCUGGUAGUCCACACAGUAAACGAUGAAUACUCGCUGUUGGCGAUAUACGGUCAGCGGCCAAGCGAAAGCAUUAAGUAUUCCACCUGGGGAGUACGCCGGCAACGGUGAAACUCAAAGGAAUUGACGGGGGCCCGCACAAGCGGAGGAACAUGUGGUUUAAUUCGAUGAUACGCGAGGAACCUUACCCGGGCUUAAAUUGCAACUGACUGAACCGGAAACGGUUCCUUCUUCGGACAGUUGUGAAGGUGCUGCAUGGUUGUCGUCAGCUCGUGCCGUGAGGUGUCGGCUUAAGUGCCAUAACGAGCGCAACCCUUAUCGAUAGUUACUAGCAGGUCAUGCUGAGGACUCUAUUGAGACUGCCGUCGUAAGAUGUGAGGAAGGUGGGGAUGACGUCAAAUCAGCACGGCCCUUACGUCCGGGGCUACACACGUGUUACAAUGGGGGGUACAGAAGGCAGCUACACGGCGACGUGGUGCUAAUCCCGAAAGCCUCUCUCAGUUCGGAUUGGAGUCUGCAACCCGACUCCAUGAAGCUGGAUUCGCUAGUAAUCGCGCAUCAGCCACGGCGCGGUGAAUACGUUCCCG
RNAcentral lists this ribosomal RNA (1017 nucleotides) under uncultured organism. Its description in RNAcentral is "bacterial SSU rRNA". It matches the Rfam family "Bacterial small subunit ribosomal RNA", at positions 356 to 1376 of the family's 1533-position model. The record is from RNAcentral.